Lagopus muta (rock ptarmigan) is the source of this 417-nucleotide long non-coding RNA. RefSeq lists it as uncharacterized. The record is from RefSeq and is a predicted model, not a curated record. The transcript is spliced from 3 exons. Lineage: Eukaryota; Metazoa; Chordata; Aves; Galliformes; Phasianidae.
UGGAGGCACAGCUGGAGGAUUGGGCACUACCUACCAGGGAGGUAACAUCUCCAGUGGAAAAGAGAACACGGCUUUAAAACACCUACAGCUGGCUUCCACACCCCCCUGACCUGCAUUUCAGGUCGGCACCACCAAGAUGUCUGUCUGCCUUGGCUGAUGAGGGUAGCUACAUGCAAGGCAAGCUAUCUGAACCCGACAGCAAAGAUCACAUUUCCCCUUAAUGCACCAUGUUGUGGGAAGUGUUUACUGUUGCUACUCUUACAGAGCAGAAAACCAGAGGUAACACGCUGGUGGCCUUUCUAGGACUGAGCUCUUCCAAAUUGCUUUGGAGACGUCCAGAGGAACGUGUGGUGCAUGCUAGCAGCACUGGGCUCUGGCUUUCCGCCUGUUGUUUCUGCUCUCUGCCUUUUCUUCAUG